CUAGCUCAGUCGGUAGAGCAUGAGACUCU
RNAcentral lists this non-coding RNA (29 nucleotides) under Drosophila melanogaster (fruit fly). Lineage: Eukaryota; Metazoa; Arthropoda; Insecta; Diptera; Drosophilidae. The record is from RNAcentral. RNAcentral also lists the same sequence under 5 other names.